UGUAAACCAUUUGUGUCUGCGCGUCCAUUUCGAUAGGGUUUUUCGCCACAAGAAGUAUAACAUGGCGGGUCAUAAGCAGCUUUGGGGCUUUAACAAACGUACCUGACACAAAUUUGUGCCAUUUAGUUUUGGGAGAAGCUUAGCACCAAUAAAAGCACAAUUGUGCGAGAGAUUAUUACCUGGGCAGUGGCCAUUUAAUGUGCCCAAUAGCUUACAGGCACACUCAAAUAACAUUUGCGGGGAGCAUUAGGGGGGUUCCGAUAACAGUUGUUUAUUUAAUGAUGGUUUACUUUUAUACAAAAGUAGAAUAGUUUGAACAAAGAACAGAUUGAGCAAUAAAGAGCUGUACUGCAAAAGGUAUCUCUAGCGACCACAUCAAAUGAAAACUAUAAGCAAGAAGACCCCUGAUGACUGACCAAUGGAACCCCACACACACUCAUAUAUCACACGCGUGAACAAACACCUAGCACCCAGCGCGUAUGUGACUUUUUGCGCACGCCAGAUAAACCGUUGAUUGAUGCGGAAGACCCACUGGAUGAUAAUGGUGAUCAAUCAGGCCAAACAAGUGCUGGAUAACCGGCUAAAGAACUGGACUAGCGGCAUUCGCCUAACGGUAGAUGGUAAAAUUACUCAACAAACACACGCACACAACAGCUGUUUGGGUAUGAGGUUUGGGGAGAGGAGGAAUGCCAUAGACAGACGGGAAAUUCCGAUAGAGAGAGAGAGGGAGAACCGAAACGAAUGUCGCUCCUUAUCAGCAGCAGACGAGGAGGAGGAGGAGACGAAGCACAAGACGAAAUAGAGCUGCUUAUGGAAAAGCGAUUAUGUAAAGAGCGUGCAUUGAACAAAUUGGAGACGACGUCGUCGUCGACGUCGUACACACAUUCAAUAAUACGUAAAGAGGAAACACAAGAACAAAUUAAGCUGACAGACGGGGCAAGCCCUGCCCUGAAUAGCCCUGCCCAUGGCCUUACACACACAGAACCGCACAAAACUCAAUGUAAGAGUCAGCCGCCACCCACAGAACCCAUUCAUUAAACACGCUCCCUUUUAAAUGUUUACAACAGCAACAAUUUUCUCCUACAUAAUUCACCAGCGAAAAUAAAAUAAAAGAAAUAUAAGAAACAUACACACACACACACUCAUGAAAAAAGCUUAUGGUAGUUGUAGUUGUCCUAAAAAUAAAUUUCAAUUUGUAUGACGGCACGAACAUCUUCCACUUGGAGAAAUUCCAAGUGUUUCGAUUUUGUUUUUGGCACACACAUAUGAAUAAUCCAACCAAAAGUGUAUUAAUAAUUUUGCGUUAAUGAUUUUGCGCCUGGCUGUGCCUUUGGCACACAUAUUUCUCUAGUGUAUUUUUGGCAAUCAUUUUACGCGCGCACGCACAAUUUCACUGCCAACAAACACACAUAUUUUCUGCAUUCACCACUUGCACUUGUGUCUGGGUAUUUUUGUGUUAUUUUUGUAAUUUAUUAAAGCAGGCCGCCGCUUACAUUUUCGUUUUGGCACACAAUCACAAUUUUUGAGACGAGCAACGCGGCGCCGCCGUUUGGUUAAACUUUUGAAAUUUUUACACACAUGCACGCGGAACAUUCCUCCCGGCGACCGAAACGAAAA
Molecule: long non-coding RNA, 1617 nt
Organism: Drosophila pseudoobscura
Lineage: Eukaryota; Metazoa; Arthropoda; Insecta; Diptera; Drosophilidae
Exons: 2
Source: RefSeq, a predicted model, not a curated record